RNAcentral lists this long non-coding RNA (760 nucleotides) under Homo sapiens (human). Its description in RNAcentral is "HSALNT0004482". The record is from RNAcentral. Lineage: Eukaryota; Metazoa; Chordata; Mammalia; Primates; Hominidae.
GGGACUCCAAGCUCUACCAGACCUGCCUGAAGUGUUUUAAAGCACAUUUUCUUUUUGAAAAGAAACCUGUUGCUGCAGCUUAGCGCAUCUGUUCUCUGUGUCCAUGUGGGAGGAGAAUCCUGGCACCCUCAUCUAGUGAAAUGUUACCUAAAGCAAAGAUUUGCAGCCCUGGGUUGUUUUUUCCGUCCUGCAGUGUUUUUAGUUACUUCGAAGGAAUUUGCAAAACUGUUACAGAUAAUUUCAGUUCUUUUUGAUUUUUUGUAAAUGUUGUGCCUAUUUUUUAUGGAGUGAUAAAGCCUGCUGAGUGCGUUUCGUGCUGUGUGCUUCACAUGUAUUGCAUUUGGGAAAGGUUGGAAAUCAAAGGCCAGGGGGAAGUCUUGUCCACUGGAAAUAAUCUCUGCUCUUGGCUGUACCUGUCAGACCCUGCUUGGUAAUGGUCUUGACUUUAGAGCUUGAAAGAGGAUGUGGGCUUGCAUCUGGUGUUGCAGUUUUAGUGGCCUCAAUAAAGUAAGGCUUUGUGCUCGAAGGCAGUAGGUUUUCUGAGGUGAGAUAAAAAUAGAAAGGGAACCAGUUUCUGAGGUUGCAACCAGGAGGUUCGAGAACAGAGAGGGGGUGGUAAACUGAAGUGUGAAGAAGGGGGUGGACAGGUGAGAGAGAUGUGGAAGGACAGAAUGGGGUCACAGAAAGGAUGGGGUGUAGAGGAACUAAGAAAUAGAAUUAGAAGAUCGGAAAAAUAUUCUUCCCUUAAAAAUGAAGGGAU